Molecule: long non-coding RNA, 412 nt
Organism: Manduca sexta (tobacco hornworm)
Lineage: Eukaryota; Metazoa; Arthropoda; Insecta; Lepidoptera; Sphingidae
Exons: 3
Source: RefSeq, a predicted model, not a curated record
UGUGACGUGGCAGGCGGGGCGGGAUCUAUAAACGCGUUGCCAGCCGGUCCGGGGUCGCGGCUGGCGCCGUCGUUCGACGCGGCUACUCCGCGCAACGUCACCGCGCUUGUUGGCAAGUCCGCCUACCUCAGCUGCCGGGUCAGGAACCUUGGCAACAGAACGGUCUCAUGGAUACGGCACCGCGACCUGCACAUCCUCACCGUAGGCGGGUAUACGUACACGUCCGACCAGCGGUUCCAGGCGACGCACUCGCCGCACACGGACGACUGGACGCUGCAUAUCAAAUGGGCGCAGCAGCGAGACGCAGGCGUGUACGAGUGCCAGGUAUCCACUCAGCCGGUGCGAUCGUUCUUCGUCACGCUGCACGUUGUUGAUUGCGACGAGAUCUACCAGCGAAUGUUCUCCGACCAAG